Molecule: non-coding RNA, 232 nt
Organism: Plectropomus leopardus (leopard coralgrouper)
Lineage: Eukaryota; Metazoa; Chordata; Actinopteri; Perciformes; Serranidae
Source: RefSeq, a predicted model, not a curated record
AAGAGGAGAAGGAGAAGGCUGAGUGUCGAGACGAGAGGAGAUGGAUUGAAAAGCAGAAUCGAGCGUCCAGAGCUCAGAGGAAGAAGGAGGAGAUGAACAGAAUACGAACACUAGUUGAUACGGCCUACAGCUGUGACCCUAGAAUAAAGAAAUUCAAAGAAGAAGAAAAGGCCAGGAAGGAGUCUGAGAAAAAGGCCAAAGCUGAAGCCAAGAAGAGAGAGCAGGAGGAGAA